RNAcentral lists this ribosomal RNA (484 nucleotides) under uncultured bacterium. RNAcentral describes it as "partial 16S ribosomal RNA". It matches the Rfam family "Bacterial small subunit ribosomal RNA", at positions 30 to 507 of the family's 1533-position model. The record is from RNAcentral.
AUUGAACGCUGGCGGCAGGCCUAACACAUGCAAGUCGAGCGGAUGAAGGGAGCUUGCUCCUGGAUUCAGCGGCGGACGGGUGAGUAAUGCCUAGGGAUCUGCCUGGUAGUGCGGGAUAACGUCCGGAAACGGGCGCUAAUACCGCAUACGUCCUGAGGGAGAAAGUGGGGGAUCUUCGGACCUCACGCUAUCAGAUGAGCCUAGGUCGGAUUAGCUAGUUGGGGGGGUAAAGGCCUACCAAGGCGACGAUCCGUAACUGGUCUGAGAGGAUGAUCAGUCACACUGGAAGUGAGACACGGUCCAGACUCCUACGGGAGGCAGCAGUGGGGAAUAUUGGACAAUGGGCGAAAGCAUGAUACAGCCAUGCCGCGUGUGUGAAGAAGGUCUUCGGAUUGUAAAGCAGUCUUAGUUGGGAGGAAGGGCAGUAAGUUAAUACCUUGCUGUUUUGACGUUACCAACAGAAUAAGCACCGGCUAACUUCGUG